AUGUUUUGGAAAGUACUCUUACUAAUAGGUAUGAACACGCUUUCCAAACUCAAUCAGUUUUACAGCCAAAGAAGUAAAAAGUCUUGGGCUGUAAAAGGUGAUCGCAACACAAAAUUCUUCCAUCAGGCUGUGCUCAAACGUAGAAAAAGAAAUACUAUUUGUUCUAUCAAAGAUGAGCAUGACAAUAUUCAUUUCAAACCGGAGGCCAUGAUGCAAACGUUUGUUAAUUAUUUCACUUAUGCUGGCAGGCCUUUUUCUUCCCCUAUUUGGACUAAUGACAACAAUGAUCCUACUUAUUCUAUUCCGGACAAGACUGAACUUUUGCGGAUUCUUAAAUACAUGAAGCUUAAUGCUUCUCCUGGUCCUGAUGGGUUCAAUGUAGAAUUUUAUUUAGCUACUUGGGAUUGGAUUGGGGAUGAGGUAACUCAUCUUGUCACUCACUUCUAUAAUACUGCUACACUUCCCCCUCACAUCAAUGAUACCAAUAUUGCUCUUAUCCCUAAGAAGUUGGUUCCUCUUGUGCCCAUGGACUACCGUCCUAUUAGUCUUUGUAAUGUGCUUUAUAAAAUCAUUGCUAAGUCUCUUGCGAAUAGACUUAAGCAUCAUCUUCCUGAUUAUAUUGACCAAGCUCAACAAGCAUUUAUUGAGGGUAGACGUAUUAGUGACAACAUUAUCAUUGCUCAGGAAAUUGCUCACUCGUUUUCUCUUAAAUCCUAG
This 717-nucleotide ribosomal RNA is filed under the name Triticum aestivum (bread wheat). RNAcentral describes it as "partial small subunit ribosomal RNA". The record is from RNAcentral. Lineage: Eukaryota; Viridiplantae; Streptophyta; Magnoliopsida; Poales; Poaceae.